UACGUAGGGGGCUAGCGUUGUCCGGAAUCAUUGGCGUAAAGCGCGUGUAGGCGGUCCGGUAAGUCCGCUGUGAAAGUCGGGGGCUCAACCCUCGAAUGCCGGUGGAUACUGUCGGGCUAGAGUGCGGAAGAGGCGAGUGGAAUUCCUGGUGUAGCGGUGAAUGCGCAGAUAUCAGGAGGAACACCAAUUGGCGAAGGCAGCUCGCUGGGACGUAACUGACGCUGGAGACGCGAAAGCGUGGGGAGCAAACAGG
Molecule: ribosomal RNA, 253 nt
Filed under: uncultured bacterium
Lineage: Bacteria
Description: partial 16S ribosomal RNA
Rfam family: Bacterial small subunit ribosomal RNA
Source: RNAcentral